GGUUAAGCGACUAAGCGUACACGGUGGAUGCCCUGGCAGUCAGAGGCGAUGAAGGACGUGCUAAUCUGCGAAAAGCGUCGGUAAGGUGAUAUGAACCGUUAUAACCGGCGAUGUCCGAAUGGGGAAACCCAGUGCAAUUCGUUGCACUAUCGUUAACUGAAUACAUAGGUUAACGAGGCGAACCGGGGGAACUGAAACAUCUAAGUACCCCGAGGAAAAGAAAUCAACCGAGAUUCCCCCAGUAGCGGCGAGCGAACGGGGAGCAGCCCAGAGUCUGAAUCAGCUUGUGUGUUAGUGGAACGGUCUGGAAAGUCCGACGGUACAGGGUGAUAGUCCCGUACACCAAAAUGCACAGGUUGUGAACUCGAAGAGUAGGGCGGGACACGUGGUAUCCUGUCUGAAUAUGGGGGGACCAUCCUCCAAGGCUAAAUACUCCUGACUGACCGAUAGUGAACCAGUACCGUGAGGGAAAGGCGAAAAGAACCCCGGCGAGGGGAGUGAAAAAGAACCUGAAACCGUGUACGUACAAGCAGUGGGAGCACCUUCGGGUGUGACUGCGUACCUUUUGUAUAAUGGGUCAGCGACUUAUAUUCU
RNAcentral lists this ribosomal RNA (594 nucleotides) under Klebsiella pneumoniae IS22. Its description in RNAcentral is "LSU rRNA". It matches the Rfam family "Bacterial large subunit ribosomal RNA", at positions 1 to 636 of the family's 2925-position model. Lineage: Bacteria; Pseudomonadati; Pseudomonadota; Gammaproteobacteria; Enterobacterales; Enterobacteriaceae. The record is from RNAcentral.